GAUGAACGCUGGCGGCGUGCCUAAUACAUGCAAGUCGAGCGAAUGGAUUAAGAGCUUGCUCUUAUGAAGUUAGCGGCGGACGGGUGAGUAACACGUGGGUAACCUGCCCAUAAGACUGGGAUAACUCCGGGAAACCGGGGCUAAUACCGGAUAACAUUUUGAACCGCAUGGUUCGAAAUUGAAAGGCGGCUUCGGCUGUCACUUAUGGAUGGACCCGCGUCGCAUUAGCUAGUUGGUGAGGUAACGGCUCACUAAGGCAACGAUGGGUAGCCGACCUGAGAGGGUGAUCGGCCACACGGGGACUGAGACACGGCCCAGACUCCUACGGGAGGCAGCAGUAGGGAAUCUUCCGCAAUGGACGAAAGUCUGACGGAGCAACGCCGCGUGAGUGAUGAAGGCUUUCGGGUCGUAAAACUCUGUUGUUAGGGAAGAACAAGUGCUAGUUGAAUAAGCUGGCACCUUGACGGUACCUAACCAGAAAGCCACGGCUAACUACGUGCCAGCCGCCGCAUAA
RNAcentral lists this ribosomal RNA (514 nucleotides) under uncultured bacterium. Its description in RNAcentral is "partial 16S ribosomal RNA". It matches the Rfam family "Bacterial small subunit ribosomal RNA", at positions 28 to 522 of the family's 1533-position model. The record is from RNAcentral.